RNAcentral lists this microRNA (23 nucleotides) under Triticum aestivum (bread wheat). RNAcentral's name for it is "tae-miR1123". Lineage: Eukaryota; Viridiplantae; Streptophyta; Magnoliopsida; Poales; Poaceae. The record is from miRBase by way of RNAcentral.
UCCGUGAGACCUGGUCUCAUAGA